This 276-nucleotide ribosomal RNA is filed under the name uncultured bacterium. RNAcentral describes it as "partial 16S ribosomal RNA". It matches the Rfam family "Bacterial small subunit ribosomal RNA", at positions 399 to 691 of the family's 1533-position model. The record is from RNAcentral.
GCGUGAGUGAUGAAGGCCUUAGGGUUGUAAAGCUCUUUCACACGCGACGAUGAUGACGGUAGCGUGAGAAGAAGCCCCGGCUAACUCCGUGCCAGCAGCCGCGGUAAUACGGAGGGGGCAAGCGUUGUUCGGAAUUACUGGGCGUAAAGGGCGCGCAGGCGGCUGCUCAAGUCAGGCGUGAAAGGCCUGGGCUCAACCCGGGAAUUGCGCUUGAGACUGGGCUGGCUUGAGUGCGGGAGAGGAUGGUGGAAUUCCCAGUGUAGAGGUGAAAUUCGU